RNAcentral lists this ribosomal RNA (1427 nucleotides) under uncultured bacterium. Its description in RNAcentral is "bacterial SSU rRNA". It matches the Rfam family "Bacterial small subunit ribosomal RNA". The record is from RNAcentral.
GAUCCUGGCUCAGAGCGAACGCUGGCGGCAGGCUUAACACAUGCAAGUCGAACGGGCGUAGCAAUACGUCAGUGGCAGACGGGUGAGUAACGCGUGGGAACGUGCCCUUCGGUUCGGAACAACUCCGGGAAACUGGAGCUAAUACCGGAUACGCCCCAAGGGGGAAAGAUUUAUCGCCGAAGGAGCGGCCCGCGUCGGAUUAGCUAGUUGGUAGGGUAAUGGCCUACCAAGGCGACGAUCCGUAGCUGGUCUGAGAGGAUGAUCAGCCACACUGGGACUGAGACACGGCCCANACUCCUACGGGAGGCAGCAGUGGGGAAUCUUGGACAAUGGGCGAAAGCCUGAUCCAGCCAUGCCGCGUGGAUGAUGAAGGCCUUAGGGUUGUAAAAUCCUUUCGUCCGGGAAGAUAAUGACGGUACCGGAAGAAGAAGCCCCGGCUAACUUCGUGCCAGCAGCCGCGGUAAUACGAAGGGGGCUAGCGUUGCUCGGAAUUACUGGGCGUAAAGCGCGCGUAGGCGGAUCGUUAAGUCGGAGGUGAAAGCCCAGGGCUCAACCCUGGAAUUGCCUUCGAUACUGGCGAUCUGGAGCACGGAAGAGGUGAGUGGAAUUCCGAGUGUAGAGGUGAAAUUCAUAGAUAUUCGGAGGAACNCCAGUGGCGAAGGCGGCUCNCUGGUCCGUUGCUGACGCUGAGGCGCGAAAGCGUGGGGGAGCAAACAGGAUUAGAUACCCUGGUAGUCCACGCUGUAAACGAUGGAUGCUAGUUGUCGGCAGGCAUGCCUGUCGGUGACGCAGCUAACGCAUUAAGCNUCCCCNCCUGGGGAGUACGGCCGCAAGGUUAAAACUCAAAGGAAUUGACGGGGGCCCGCACAAGCGGUGGAGCAUGUGGUUUAAUUCGAAGCAACGCGCAGAACCUUACCCACGUUUGNCAUGCCCGGUUUGGUCGUCAGAGAUGACUUCCUUCAGUUCGGCUGGCCGGUGCACAGGUGNUGCAUGGCUGUCGUCAGCUCGUGUCGUGAGAUGUUGGGUUAAGUCCCGCAACGAGCGCAACCCUCGCCCUUAGUUGCCAUCACUUCUAGGUGGGCACUCUAGGGGAACUGCCGGUGGCAAGCCGGAGGAAGGUGGGGAUGACGUCAAGUCCUCAUGGCCCUUACGCGUGGGGCUACACACGUGCUACAAUGGCGGUGACAAUGGGAUAAUCCCUAAAAGCCGUCUCAGUUCGGAUUGUCCUCUGCAACUCGAGGGCAUGAAGUUGGAAUCGCUAGUAAUCGUGGAUCAGCAUGCCACGGUGAAUACGUUCCCGGGCCUUGUACACACCGCCCGUCACACCAUGGGAGUUGGUUUUACCCGAAGACGGUGCGCUAACCCGCGAGGGAGGCAGCCGGCCACGGUAGGGUCAGCGACUGGGGUGAAGUCGUAACAAGGUAACC